GUGGGAUUUGCACACGAUAACGGCUUUCAGAGGUGGCUAGGACUUGGCCAGAAACCUUUCAGUUUACUGCAUAGUCUCUAUUGGAGCUUGGGAAAAUAUUUUCUGUGAACCUAGUUGGCAGCUUAGGUUUCCUUCUCCCCUGUUCCCAUGUGGAACUGAAGUCCAUUUACUAAGUGUUUCCAAACCUGUCCCGAGGCAGAGAUGAUUGUAAAGAGCCCCUCAGGAGCACUUAUUUGUGGUUUCUAGGCUGAAGGCUGGCUGUGCAACUUUGGCAUUCUUGAUCUAUCACCUGUGACUGAAAGCUCCCAAACUGAUGCAAAACUUCUAACUACAUAGGAAAGAGAUGAAUUCAAUGGUGAUCACUUUCCUUUGGAUCUCUGCAAAACUACAUACCUACUCAACAUAUUUUUGGAUAUAAUUUCAGAAUUAUAAUGUCUUCUAAUAUCCAAUGUUCUACCAAGUCACUCAAGAUACACCCAGCAGCCUCGCGGUCUUUGAUUGCUAAUGGGUAAGUAGAAGAUUUUGCAUUUCCAGUUGCCAAGAUCACUGGAAGGCUUGACAUCAGGUCACACAUGUCUGUACCUCCUUCCAAAAUGUUAGGAACUGUGAGACCCUCUUUAAUGUUGUUUCUCUCUUGGGUUGGAGGUGGGGUGUCUAAUUUUCUCUCACCCAGAGAACAUUUUUAACAACCUGAGUGAGAGGAGGAUGACUUUGCUCUCACUCUGUGCUGAACAAGGUCACUGAACUAGGUUUAUCCUCCCUAUUUAAUGUCUGAUGACUCACUUCCUAAGAUCUUAAAUGCUUUUUAUGCUACAGGUGCUGUAAAGAUUAUGGAGUUGGUGUUUGCCAAGUGUCUAGAGAUCUUGAAUGCAUCAUUCUUCUACAGGGCUUUUCCUUCAUUUGCCAACCAGAAAGAACAUAAAACUA
Molecule: long non-coding RNA, 927 nt
Filed under: Homo sapiens (human)
Lineage: Eukaryota; Metazoa; Chordata; Mammalia; Primates; Hominidae
Description: HSALNT0033117
Source: RNAcentral